RNAcentral lists this ribosomal RNA (429 nucleotides) under Acidobacteriota bacterium. RNAcentral describes it as "Acidobacteria bacterium partial 16S ribosomal RNA". It matches the Rfam family "Bacterial small subunit ribosomal RNA", at positions 355 to 776 of the family's 1533-position model. The record is from RNAcentral. Lineage: Bacteria; Pseudomonadati; Acidobacteriota.
UGGGGAAUUUUGGGCAAUGGGGGAAACCCUGAUCCAGCAAUCCCGCGUGUGCGAUGAAGGCCUUCGGGUUGUAAAGCACUUUUGGCAGGAAAGAAACGUCUUGGGUUAAUACCGCGUGAAACUGACGGUACCUGCAUAAUAAGCACCGGCUAACUACGUACCAGCAGCCGCGGUAAUACGUAGGGUGCAAGCGUUAAUCGGAAUUACUGGGCGUAAAGCGUGCGCAGGUGGUACUGAAAGUAAGAUGUGAAAUCGUAGGGCUCAACUUAGGAACUGCAGUUUAAACUACCGGGCUAGAGUGUGUCAGGGGGAGGUGGAAUUCCUCGUGUAGCAGUGAAAUGCGUAGAUAUGAGGAAGAACACCGGUGGCGAAGGCGGCCUCCUAGGAUAACACUGACACUCAGGCACGAAAGCGUGGGGAGCGAAUGGG